UACGGCCAAGGCUUUAUACUCGACUUCAUUAUUCAUUAUAGAAAAUUUGAAGCAUAAGGCAUACUCAACUACUAUCCUCUCUAGAUUCGAGAGGAUCAGUCCUGCUUCGGAUCCUGCAGAGUUGGAUGAGUCAUCCACAUACAUCACUCAGAAAUCGGCAUCAGCUUUUGAAAGGCCUUCAUAUGUCGGCACAUGGGGCUCGGCUUUUUUUUGGUCAUCUAGCUCAUCUGGAAUGGUACAUUAGGCCAAGA
Molecule: long non-coding RNA, 251 nt
Filed under: Elaeis guineensis (African oil palm)
Lineage: Eukaryota; Viridiplantae; Streptophyta; Magnoliopsida; Arecales; Arecaceae
Description: long non-coding RNA (EGUI_LNC043139)
Source: RNAcentral